AGAAUAUACUGAGGCGUUGAAAUAUAGCUAGUAUUUGGGCACUUUAUGCUAUAUGGAGCCAGUAGUGCAACCGGCAGUAUUUUUA
This 85-nucleotide non-coding RNA is filed under the name Clostridiales bacterium. RNAcentral describes it as "c-di-GMP-II sequence". It matches the Rfam family "Cyclic di-GMP-II riboswitch aptamer". Lineage: Bacteria; Bacillati; Bacillota; Clostridia; Eubacteriales. The record is from RNAcentral.